GUAGGGGGCAAGCGUUAUCCGGAUUUACUGGGUGUAAAGGGAGCGUAGACGGCAUGGCAAGCCAGAUGUGAAAGCCCGGGGCUCAACCCCGGGACUGCAUUUGGAACUGUCAGGCUAGAGUGUCGGAGAGGAAAGCGGAAUUCCUAGUGUAGCGGUGAAAUGCGUAGAUAUUAGGAGGAACACCAGUGGCGAAGGCGGCUUUCUGGACGAUGACUGACGUUGAGGCUCGAAAGCGUGGGGAGCAAACAGGAUUAGAUACCCUGGUAGUCCACGCCGUAAACGAUGACUACUAGGUGUCGGGGAGCAAAGCUCUUCGGUGCCGCAGCAAACGCAAUAAGUAGUCCACCUGGGGAGU
Molecule: ribosomal RNA, 355 nt
Filed under: uncultured bacterium
Lineage: Bacteria
Description: bacterial SSU rRNA
Rfam family: Bacterial small subunit ribosomal RNA
Source: RNAcentral